This 497-nucleotide ribosomal RNA is filed under the name uncultured bacterium. RNAcentral's name for it is "partial 16S ribosomal RNA". It matches the Rfam family "Bacterial small subunit ribosomal RNA", at positions 28 to 507 of the family's 1533-position model. The record is from RNAcentral.
GACGAACGCUGGCGGCGUGCCUAAUACAUGCAAGUUGAGCGCUGAAGGUUGGUACUUGUACCAACUGGAUGAGCAGCGAACGGGUGAGUAACGCGUGGGGAAUCUGCCUUUGAGCGGGGGACAACAUUUGGAAACGAAUGCUAAUACCACAUAAAAACUUUAAACACAAGCUUUAAGUUUGAAAGAUGCAAUUGCAUCACUCAAAGAUGAUCCCGCGUUGUAUUAGCUAGUUGGUGAGGUAAAGGCUCACCAAGGCGAUGAUACAUAGCCGACCUGAGAGGGUGAUCGGCCACAUUGGGACUGAGACACGGCCCAAACUCCUACGGGAGGCAGCAGUAGGGAAUCUUCGGCAAUGGACGAAAGUCUGACCGAGCAACGCCGCGUGAGUGAAGAAGGUUUUCGGAUCGUAAAACUCUGUUGGUAGAGAAGAACGUUGGUGAGAGUGGAAAGCUCAUCAAGUGACGGUAACUACCCAGAAAGGGACGGCUAACUACGUG